UCCAGCCAUGCCGCGUGUGUGAAGAAGGCCUUAUGGUUGUAAAGCACUUUAAGCGAGGAGGAGGCUCUUUUGGUUAAUACCCAAGAUGAGUGGACGUUACUCGCAGAAUAAGCACCGGCUAACUCUGUGCCAGCAGCCGCGGUAAUACAGAGGGUGCAAGCGUUAAUCGGAUUUACUGGGCGUAAAGCGCGCGUAGGCGGCCAAUUAAGUCAAAUGUGAAAUCCCCGAGCUUAACUUGGGAAUUGCAUUCGAUACUGGUUGGCUAGAGUGUGGGAGAGGAUGGUAGAAUUCCAGGUGUAGCGGUGAAAUGCGUAGAGAUCUGGAGGAAUACCGAUGGCGAAGGCAGCCAUCUGGCCUAACACUGACGCUGAGGUGCGAAAGCAUGGGGAGCAAACAGGAUUAGAUACCCUGGUAGUCCAUGCCGUAAACGAUGUCUACUAGCCGUUGGGGCCUUUGAGGCUUUAGUGGCGCAGCUAACGCGAUAAGUAGACCGCCUGGGGAGUACGGUCGCAAGACUAAAACUCAAAUGAAUUGACGGGGGCCCGCACAAGCGGUGGAGCAUGUGGUUUAAUUCGAUGCAACGCGAAGAACCUUACCUGGCCUUGACAUAGUAGAAACUUUCCAGAGAUGGA
RNAcentral lists this ribosomal RNA (632 nucleotides) under Acinetobacter baumannii. RNAcentral describes it as "bacterial SSU rRNA". It matches the Rfam family "Bacterial small subunit ribosomal RNA", at positions 387 to 1010 of the family's 1533-position model. Lineage: Bacteria; Pseudomonadati; Pseudomonadota; Gammaproteobacteria; Moraxellales; Moraxellaceae. The record is from RNAcentral.